GACGAACGCUGGCGGCGUGCCUAAUACAUGCAAGUAGAACGCACAGUUUAUACCGUAGCUUGCUACACCAUAGACUGUGAGUUGCGAACGGGUGAGUAACGCGUAGGUAACCUGCCUGGUAGCGGGGGAUAACUAUUGGAAACGAUAGCUAAUACCGCAUAAUAUUGAUUAUUGCAUGAUAAUUGAUUGAAAGAUGAUAUUGUAUCACUACCAGAUGGACCUGCGUUGUAUUAGCUGGUAGGUGAGGUAACGGCUCACCUAGGCGACGAUACAUAGCCGACGUGGGAGGGUGGUCGGCCACACUGGGACUGGAACACGGCCCAGACUCCUACGGGAGGCAGCAGUAGGGAAUCGUCGGCAAUGGACGAAAGUCUGGCCGAGCAACGCCGCGUGAGUGGAGAAAGUUUUCGGAGCGUAAAGCUCUGCUGUAAGAGAAGAACGGGUGUGAGAGUGGAAAGUUCACGCUGUGACGGUAUCUUACCAAAAAGGAACGGCUAACUACGUG
This 505-nucleotide ribosomal RNA is filed under the name uncultured bacterium. RNAcentral's name for it is "partial 16S ribosomal RNA". It matches the Rfam family "Bacterial small subunit ribosomal RNA", at positions 28 to 507 of the family's 1533-position model. The record is from RNAcentral.